CACCUGGUUGAUCCUGCCAGUAGUCAUAUGCUUGUCUCAAAGAUUAAGCCAUGCAUGUCUAAGUAUAAGCUUUAAACGGCGAAACUGCGAAUGGCUCAUUAAAACAGUUAUAGUUUAUUUGGUGAUCGAUUACUAUUUGGAUAACCGUAGUAAUUCUAGAGCUAAUACAUGCGUCAAGGCCCGACUUCGGAAGGGCUGCGUUUAUUAGAUACAGAACCAACCUAGGCUCCGCCUAGUCCUUGUUGGUGAUUCAUAAUAACCCGGCGAAUCGCACGGCUUGUCCGGCGAUGGACCAUUCAAGUUUCUGACCUAUCAGCUAUGGACGGUAGGGUAUUGGCCUACCGUGGCGUUGACGGGUAACGGGGAAUUAGGGUUCGAUUCCGGAGAGGGAGCCUGAGAAACGGCUACCACAUCUAAGGAAGGCAGCAGGCGCGCAAAUACC
RNAcentral lists this non-coding RNA (442 nucleotides) under Perkinsus marinus ATCC 50983. Its description in RNAcentral is "Eukaryotic small subunit ribosomal RNA". It matches the Rfam family "Eukaryotic small subunit ribosomal RNA", at positions 1 to 444 of the family's 1831-position model. Lineage: Eukaryota; Perkinsozoa; Perkinsida; Perkinsidae. The record is from Rfam by way of RNAcentral.